Molecule: unclassified non-coding RNA, 243 nt
Filed under: Glomeraceae sp.
Lineage: Eukaryota; Fungi; Glomeromycota; Glomeromycetes; Glomerales; Glomeraceae
Description: partial contains 5.8S ribosomal RNA and internal transcribed spacer 2
Rfam family: 5.8S ribosomal RNA (bases 1-71)
Source: RNAcentral
GUGAAUCAUCGAAUCUUUGAACGCAAAUUGCACUCUCGGGUAUUCCGGAGAGUAUGCCUGUUUGAGGGUCAGUGUAAAUAAAAAUCGGUGUGGUUGCUACCUGUCGUAGUGACGCACCGGCUUGGGUUCAUCUUUCCUUCGGUGAAGUUACCUAGAAUGAUGCAUGAUUUUUUGUAACGUAUUCCGAUGAUUUUACGUACGUUUGCGAUAUCGAAUGCUAUGUAUGGUCAUCCUCAUGACUCU